Magallana angulata is the source of this 1574-nucleotide long non-coding RNA. RefSeq lists it as uncharacterized. The record is from RefSeq and is a predicted model, not a curated record. NCBI's taxonomy places the organism in Eukaryota, Metazoa, Mollusca, Bivalvia, Ostreida, Ostreidae. The transcript has 3 exons.
CAAAAAUCAACCCGUUUGCAAAAAUCAUCGGGGGCUACAGACUGAGAAGCAUUUUGACUGAUGCAUCGAUCAAUAAGUAAUAGAACAAAAAGCAUAUACGGGAAAUGGUAUUGCCCAUAUCCUCAUUAAGUUGAACUAAUUCCGCAUCGAGGAAUAAAAGGUCCAGAUUGGCAAGCAUUUAUCCGACAGUUCCACAUGCUGCAGACAGACCGACAUCGCCAAAGAGUAUGCAGACUUUUGCAGAUGCCCAGGUUCUCUCCAACAAGUGUGGAAUAUGGAACGCGUACCGGUUUGCCUAGUCCUAAUGGAUCACUUUGUUAAAAUAUCUUCUUUUCGGUAUGUUUUGCCUGCGUGUUGACUAAGUUGUUCUUUGCUUGUGUCUGUAUUUUUUUUCCUUCCCUUUGUUUUUUGUUCGUCGACGAUUGCUGACUCGUUAUAGCUUUUUCAAAUAGAUACCGUUACUUACUUACAUUAUGAAUUGUUUUACAACUGUUUCAUUCAUAUGCAGAUUUCCGGUGAGACAGAGGCAAUUUUCUUGAAGAUGCUUUGUUUUGAAUGAACUUUGACCUUUUUGUUGCGUCUGCUGUUGUCUUAUCCGGAUGUUCAUUGAUCCUUGCUUUUAGUACAUGUGUAGUUGUUUCUGCACGCAAGAAUUGAAAUGUACUGAUGUGACUCAAUUUUACACGUACUUUCAUUUUAAAGAAAAUUGUCUCGUUUGAAUCUUGAGUUUAGUCACUAUGUAUUUUUUUAAAAUUUUAUUUUAUUUUACUCAUCGACACUUUUUACAUACAUGUAUAAUAGCUCACAUGUUUAAAAUACGGCUCUCGGUAGCUUCUAUCGAACCGAUUGAUUUUCAUUUUAUCUAACCAAAGGCUUUUUAUUUACAUAGCAUGCACAAACGAUUUCUGUUUGAACUGCAGAGUAAAAUGAAACAACACUUAAGCUUGCUUUAGAAAUGCACCUUUCUUGAUUAGCAAACAAGGGUUCAAGUAUGAUUUUUGUUAAAGGUCGUUCUGGCUUAUCUAUUAUCUAGUUCACUGGGUUCGUAGUAGAUUGAAAUAACGCUCAUUCAUGCUCUCUAUACGGGUGUGUGGUUUUUCUUUGAACUGUCCAUGGUUUUCGGAGAAAACGACGAUUACGUAACAGCAUGUCCGGUCUUGUUAGGCUGUGGAAUUAGGACGAUCGGGUAUGCAGUUUGUGGGUUUCUAGGCGCAUUAUUUUCUAUUGUUUAUGAAAAUGCCCCCAGAAAUCCUAAAAAUUGUGUAUCCAAGUCAUCUAAUUAAUUUCUGUGAUGGGCGUUUCUUGUGGUUUUAUUUCUUUUCUCGAUUGGUUCUCUCUUGAUGUGCUCAAUAAUGGAUUCAUGACGUAAACUGAACGUGUAAUGAAUGGAGGUGAGUUACAAUCUCAUUUCGGUUUGGCUUCGGAUUUUCUUUACAAUUUGUGAUGCAAAAUAUGCAUUUCAAGGAAGGUAUGUAUUGAAAAAAUAAUUGAUAAUAAUUUCAAUUUUUUCGUUUCAAAAAAUGUACUUUUACAUAUCAAAUGACUGAAUGAAAAUAAAUUUUCUUAAAUUAAAA